Molecule: ribosomal RNA, 1037 nt
Filed under: Monochamus sp. IBE JGZ-3882
Lineage: Eukaryota; Metazoa; Arthropoda; Insecta; Coleoptera; Cerambycidae
Description: partial large subunit ribosomal RNA
Rfam family: Eukaryotic large subunit ribosomal RNA
Source: RNAcentral
AGCACCGAAUCCCGCGGCCGAUACCGGGCGCCGGGAAAUGUGGUGUUAGGGAGGAUCCGUUUAUCCCGAGGUCGUGCGGCGCGUCCAAGUCCUUCUUGAACGGGGCCACAGCCCAUAGAGGGUGCCAGGCCCGUAGCGACCGCUGCCGAUCGCGGGAGGAUCUCUCCUCAGAGUCGGGUUGCUUGAGAGUGCAGCCCUAAGUGGGUGGUAAACUCCAUCUAAGGCUAAAUAUGACCACGAGACCGAUAGCGAACAAGUACCGUGAGGGAAAGUUGAAAAGCACUUUGAAGAGAGAGUUCAAGAGUACGUGAAACCGUUCAGGGGUAAACCUGAGAAACCCGAAAAGUCGAAAGGGGAAAUUCAUUCGCGUCUCGACCGUCGGAGUGGAGCGAUCGAGCGACGGACGGCGUACGCGUCGUCCGCGCCUUUCGUUUUACGUUUCGGCGUCGAACGCGUGCACUUUUCCCCUAGUAGGACGUCGCGAUCCGUUGGGCGUCGGUCUAAGGUCCGCGGUGGAGCCCGGGCGUGCGUCUUCGGACGUUCGCGCUCGGACCCGCGGUAUCCCGGCCGACUCGCUCGACGGUAUACAGAUGGCGCGGGGCCGCUAUUUCAAUUAGCGUUCGGCCCGCGGCAAGCGCGUACGGUGUUGUCGACGAUCGGACCUGGUGCCGGUCUCGUCCCCGGACGACUGUUGGCCGCGGUGUUUUCUCGAACAGACCUCGUUAUGAAACGCCGAUCUGCGACGCUAUAGCUUUGGGUACUUUCAGGACCCGUCUUGAAACACGGACCAAGGAGUCUAGCAUGUGCGCGAGUCAUUGGGACAUAACUAAACCUAAAGGCGCAAUGAAAGUGAAGGUCCGUCUCGCGCGGACCGAGGGAGGAUGGGCGAUUCGUAUUCCGUACGGUCGCUCCGCACUCCCGGGGCGUCUCGUUCUCAUCGCGAGAAGAGGCGCACCAAGAGCGUACACGCUGGGACCCGAAAGAUGGUGAACUAUGCCUGGUCAGGACGAAGUCAGGGGAAACCCUGAUGGAGGUCC